AGUGAACGCUGGCGGUAGGCCUAACACAUGCAAGUCGAACGGCAGCACAGGAGAGCUUGCUCUCUGGGUGGCGAGUGGCGGACGGGUGAGGAAUACAUCGGAAUCUACUUUUUCGUGGGGGAGAACGUAGGCAAACUUACGCUAAUACCGCAUACCACCUGCGGUUGAAAGCAGGGGACCUUCUGGCCUUCCGCGAUUAAAUGAGCCGAUGUGGGCUUAGCUAGUUGGCGGGGUAAAGGCCCACCAAGGCGACGAUCCGUAGCUGGUCUGAGAGGAUGAUCAGCCACACUGGAACUGAGACACGGUCCAGACUCCUACGGGAGGCAGCAGUGGGGAAUAUUGGACAAUGGGCGCAAGCCUGAUCCAGCCAUACCGCGUGGGUGAAGAAGGCCUUCGGGUUGUAAAGCCCUUUUGUUGGGAAAGAAAUCCAGCUGGCUAAUACCCGGUUGGGGUGACGGUACCCAAAGAAUAAGCACCGGCUAACUUCGUGCCAGCCGCCGCGGUAA
This 506-nucleotide ribosomal RNA is filed under the name uncultured bacterium. Its description in RNAcentral is "partial 16S ribosomal RNA". It matches the Rfam family "Bacterial small subunit ribosomal RNA", at positions 29 to 523 of the family's 1533-position model. The record is from RNAcentral.